ACGCCUAAUACAUGCAAGUCGAACGAAGUAGCAAUACUUAGUGGCAAACGGGUGAGUAUAAUGUAGGUAUCUGCCUUUUGGUUUGGAAUAACACGAGGAAACUUGUGCUAAUACCGGAUAAGCCUUUACAGGGAAAGUUUUAACGCCGAAAGAUGAGCCUGCACUUGAUUAGCUAGUUGGUAGGGUAAUGGCCUACCAAGGCAACGAUCAAUAGCUGAUCUGAGAGGAUGAUCAGCCACAUUGGGACUGAGACACGGCCCAGACUCCUACGGGAGGCAGCAGUAGGGAAUCUUGCACAAUGGGGGAAACCCUGAUGCAGCGAUGCCGCGUGAGUGAAGAAGGCCUUUGGGUUGUAAAGCUCUUUCGUCGGGGAAGAAAAUGACUGUACCCGAAUAAGAAGGUCCGGCUAACUUCGUGCCAGCAGCCGCGGUAAUACGAAGGGACCUAGCGUAGUUCGGAAUUACUGGGCUUAAAGAGUUCGUAGGUGGUUAGAAAAGUUAGUGGUGAAAUCCCAAGGCUUAACCUUGGAACUGCCACUAAAACUUUUUAACUAGAGUAUGAUAGAGGUAAGCGGAAUUUCUAGUGUAGAGGUGAAAUUCGUAGAUAUUAGAAAGAACACCAAUUGCGAAGGCAGCUUUCUGGAUCAUUACUGACACUGAGGAGCGAAAGCAUGGGUAGCGAAGAGGAUUAGAUACCCUCGUAGUCCAUGCUGUAAACGAUGUGUGCUAGACGUUGGAAAUUUAUUUUCAGUGUCGCAGCAAAAGCGUUAAGCACACCGCCUGGGGAGUACGACCGCAA
This 798-nucleotide ribosomal RNA is filed under the name uncultured Pelagibacteraceae bacterium. RNAcentral describes it as "bacterial SSU rRNA". It matches the Rfam family "Bacterial small subunit ribosomal RNA", at positions 44 to 891 of the family's 1533-position model. The record is from RNAcentral. Lineage: Bacteria; Pseudomonadati; Pseudomonadota; Alphaproteobacteria; Candidatus Pelagibacterales; Candidatus Pelagibacteraceae.